RNAcentral lists this ribosomal RNA (255 nucleotides) under uncultured bacterium. RNAcentral describes it as "partial 16S ribosomal RNA". It matches the Rfam family "Bacterial small subunit ribosomal RNA", at positions 523 to 776 of the family's 1533-position model. The record is from RNAcentral.
UAGCGGAGGGGGCUAGCGUUGUUCGGAAUUACUGGGCGUAAAGCGCACGUAGGCGGCUUUGCAAGUCAGAGGUGAAACGGCCCGGGGCUCCGAACCCGAAUUGCCUUUGAGACUGCACGCUAGAAUUGUGGAGAGGUAAGUGGAAUUCCGAGUGUAGAGGUGAAAUUCGUAGAUAUUCGGAAGAACACCAGUGGCGAAGGCGACUUACUGGACACAUAUUGACGCUGAGGUGCGAAAGCGUGGGGAGCAAACAGG